GUUAGGGUAAACAAUUUCAACUACGAUUGUCUUGUCAGGAUUGCUAAGGUCGACUUUAUGUGGCCCAGGAACAGAUUUUGCAACUGAAUUUAUAAUUUUCAUCCUGUCAAUGCCAGUGUUUGCACGAGCUUCAUAAAGCACAGCAAACUUCUGCGGCUCUCGAGUAUCCACAGGAAAAUAUUUUGCCACAACUGGAGUCAUUGCUUUUGAAAUUUCCUCUUCUGAAGCAUAGCACGAAACUUCAAUUGGCAACACUCUUAAGAUAAACCUUGACAUGUGUUUCCUAGUUGAUGCAGCAGAAGUCAUCAUGUGCUGUACAAUAUCUCUAGGAGAAGGGUCUCCAUCUCUCUUGCGCAUUUGAACAAAAGCAACACCAUUACAACCUGAAUCAAGAUUUGCAAAGCGCCUCUUACUCCUAUCUCCAAUUUCUUUGAGUUCAUCUUCAAUAAGCUUAUCAAUGGAUUUCUGCUCCACCUUUUCAUGGACAACAGAUUUUGAGACACAUGUUUCUAUGCAUUGCUUCUUCACUGGAGGCUCCUUGGCUUCAUUUGUUUGAUUUUCCAGAUCUUUAGCACUCUCUUCAUUAUCAUUAGUGUUUUCUUCCGUUUGAUUUCCACAGCACAAAUUCUCCACAUUAAUAUCUAACUUCUCAUUUGUUGGACUUUCACUUUUAACAUCAUUGUUUUGGUUUGUAUCUGGUUUAUUCUCUUCCUCCCCAUCCUCCUCUUCAUCCUCUUCCCCCUCCACCUCAUUAUCAUCUUCUUCUCUUUCUUCAUCGUCAUCAGAAUAUACAAACUUUAUCUUUUUAUUUAAAGGUUUAUUAGGCAACUCUGCUGGCUU
This 840-nucleotide unclassified non-coding RNA is filed under the name Hevea brasiliensis (rubber tree). The record is from RNAcentral. Lineage: Eukaryota; Viridiplantae; Streptophyta; Magnoliopsida; Malpighiales; Euphorbiaceae.